AGAAUCAACGCUGGCGGCGUGCCUAACACAUGCAAGUCGAACGAGAAAGUGGAGCAAUCCACGAGUAAAGUGGCGCACGGGUGAGUAACACGUGACUAACCUACCCUUGAGUGGGGGAAUAACCUAGGGAAACCUGGGCUAAUACCGCAUAACACCUACGGGUCAAAGGAGCAAUUCGCUUAGGGAGGGGGUCGCGGCCGAUUAGUUAGUUGGCGGGGUAAUGGCCCACCAAGACGAUGAUCGGUAUCCGGCCUGAGAGGGCGCACGGACACACUGGAACUGAAACACGGUCCAGACUCCUACGGGAGGCAGCAGUGGGGAAUUUUGCGCAAUGGGGGAAACCCUGACGCAGCAACGCCGCGUGGAGGAUGAAGUCCUUGGGACGUAAAACUCCUUUCGAUCGGGACGAUUAUGACGGUACCGGAAGAAGAAGCCCGGCUAACUUCGCGCCAGCAGCCGC
RNAcentral lists this ribosomal RNA (460 nucleotides) under uncultured bacterium. RNAcentral describes it as "SSU rRNA". It matches the Rfam family "Bacterial small subunit ribosomal RNA", at positions 26 to 518 of the family's 1533-position model. The record is from RNAcentral.